This 1381-nucleotide ribosomal RNA is filed under the name Citrobacter freundii. RNAcentral describes it as "bacterial SSU rRNA". It matches the Rfam family "Bacterial small subunit ribosomal RNA", at positions 16 to 1394 of the family's 1533-position model. Lineage: Bacteria; Pseudomonadati; Pseudomonadota; Gammaproteobacteria; Enterobacterales; Enterobacteriaceae. The record is from RNAcentral.
AUCCUGGCUCAGAUUGAACGCUGGCGGCAGGCCUAACACAUGCAAGUCGAACGGUAGCACAGAGGAGCUUGCUCCUUGGGUGACGAGUGGCGGACGGGUGAGUAAUGUCUGGGAAACUGCCCGAUGGGGGGGAUAACUACUGGAAACGGUAGCUAAUACCGCAUAACGUCGCAAGACCAAAGAGGGGGACCUUCGGGCCUCUUGCCAUCGGAUGUGCCCAGAUGGGAUUAGCUAGUAGGUGGGGUAACGGCUCACUAGGCGACGAUCCCUAGCUGGUCUGAGAGGAUGACCAGCCACACUGGAACUGAGACACGGUCCAGACUCCUACGGGAGGCAGCAGUGGGGAAUAUUGCACAAUGGGCGCAAGCCUGAUGCAGCCAUCCGCGUGUAUGAAGAAGGCCUUCGGGUUGUAAAGUACUUUCAGCGAGGAGGAAGGCGUUGUGGUUAAUAACCGCAGCGAUUGACGUUACUCGCAGAAGAAGCACCGGCUAACUCCGUGCCAGCAGCCCGGUAAUACGGAGGGUGCAAGCGUUAAUCGGAAUUACUGGGCGUAAAGCGCACGCAGGCGGUCUGUCAAGUCGGAUGUGAAAUCCCCGGGCUCAACCUGGGAACUGCAUCCGAAACUGGCAGGCUAGGUCUUGUAGAGGGGGGUAGAAUUCCAGGUGUAGCGGUGAAAUGCGUAGAGAUCUGGAGGAAUACCGGUGGCGAAGGCGGCCCCCUGGACAAAGACUGACGCUCAGGUGCGAAAGCGUGGGGAGCAAAAGGAUUAGAUACCCUGGUAGUCCACGCCGUAAACGAUGUCGACUUGGAGGUUGUGCCCUUGAGGCGUGGCUUCCGGAGCUAACGCGUUAAGUCGACCGCCUGGGGAGUACGGCCGCAAGGUUAAAACCAAAUGAAUUGACGGGGGCCCGCACAAGCGGUGGAGCAUGUGGUUUAAUUCGAUGCAACCGCGAAGAACCUUACCUACUCUUGACAUCCAGAGAACUUAGGCAGAGAUGCUUUGGUGCCUUCGGGAACUCUGAGACAGGUGCUGCAUGGCUGUCGUCAGCUCGUGUUGUGAAAUGUUGGGUUAAGUCCCGCAACGAGCGCAACCCUUAUCCUUUGUUGCCAGCGGUUAGGCCGGGAACUCAAAGGAGACUGCCAGGAUAAACUGGAGGAAGGUGGGGAUGACGUCAAGUCAUCAUGGCCCUUACGAGUAGGGCUACACACGUGCUACAAUGGCAUAUACAAAGAGAAGCGACCUCGCGAGAGCAAGCGGACCUCAUAAAGUAGUCGUAGUCCGGAUUGGAGUCUGCAACUCGACUCCAUGAAGUCGGAAUCGCUAGUAAUCGUGGAUCAGAAUGCCACGGUGAAUACGUUCCCGGGCCUUGCACACACCGCC